UAGACUCUUCAAUCUAUGGUUCUACACAGAGAGAUAGAUAGUGAAGAGCUGUUAAUACAAGUAACAAGAUGCAAGAGUGUCUCCUAGUAGUGCUGCUGCUGCUGUGCAGUGUGUCAGGCUAUCCCAGUGGCCCUCCAGCUGCAGACCACUCCAGUGUAGUGUGCCAGGAGCUCAGCCCCAGCCUACAAGCUCAUGGACCCCCACACAGUGGACAUGGUGGAUACCUGCUCCGGUUGCAACCUCCACUCACUAAAGUUGGACAAGCCCUUCACUAUGAGCCUGGAAUGGAGUACAAUGUGGAGCUGGUUGGUACGACUCACUCCUUUAAAGGAUUUAUGAUACAAGCUCGAGACCCUGCGACGCCUCCUCCUUCUGUUCCUCAUCUGAUUGGUCAGUUCACAGCCGUCAAUGAUGGAGCAAAGACCCUCAACUGCGACCAGGGGGGCGUGUCUGCUGGGGCCACUGUGGCUCAUAGCAAUGCCCUCCCCCGCUCCGUAGUGCAGCUCACGUGGACAGCACCACUGAGCAACGGCACUGUGGACUUCUUCUACACAGUGGUGAGAGAGAAGGCUGUCCACUUUGAUCAGCUCAGUGCUGCUCAAUUGGGACCACCCCUCUUUAGCAAUGCCCCUAGCAACACUCUUCCACCAAACAAAACACCAGACAAGUAUCGGCUCCAGUUUCAAAAUCCACAGAAUUGUACCAUAAUUGGCGACUGCAGUGUGUACGUUGCCAUAGAUACUAAUCGUGGGAACGACAGUUGGUUGGAUAUCUACAUGGAGGGAGAAGCAGAAGGAUGGGUGGGUGUCGGCUUUACCAAGGCUCCGCACAUGAUUAAUGCUGAUGUAGUGGCUUGCAAUCUGCUGGGAUACAAGAUGGUGGUGCUAGACUUGUUCAACCCGUCUUACACUAGCCUCACUGACGAGAUACAGGAUGUAUAUCUGUUUGAUGGGAAGUACAUGGACGGGCGGCUCUCUUGCACAGUCAUCAAGCGUAUCCUACCAUCAGACGAGUUUGACAUUGACCUCGACCAAGACCUCUACGUUCUGUACGGCAAGCGAUCAAAGAAUGUUACUUCUCCUCUACACACUAUUGACCCUCACGAUUCUGACCCUUUGAUCAGUAAAAAAAAGAUAAAUGUUGCCCAUGACAACGGAUCAGCGAGUGGAGAGAACGAGCUCUUUAAAAAUGCACUCGUGAAGACUCAUGGUGCACUCAUGUUAGUGACAUGGCCGCUACUAGUCGUGACUGGCAUAUUCUUCCCCGUGUUUAUGAAGCCGGCACUACCUGGUGGAGGAUGGUUUAAGAUCCACCGUGUUCUGAUGCUGACGUCUGUGGUUGUGGGGGCUGUUGGUUUCGCCGUGGUGUUUAUCGCUCAUAUCCAUGAGUCCAUUCCUGGUCUUAUUCCACUCGGUCAGGGGAAGGUGCUCAGAACGUCUCAUUUCUCUGUGGGGGUAUUAGGGAUGGCCCUGCACCUGAUCAAUCCGAUCAUCGGUAUCCUGCGAUGCAGCUCAGACAACCCCAGGAGGUGGAUAUUUGACCUCCUCCAUGGGAAGGUGGUGGGCCUCUUCUCUCUACUGCUAGCACUUGUCAACAUAGCCAUAGGUGCUUAUUUGCUGGACCCCACUCGCGUAUUCUGGGUGGUGGUGGCUUGGGAGGCAGUGUUCUUGGUAACUGUACUCAUACUGUUGACCAUGUUCUCAUGCCUAGCAGCAAGGUCGCCCCCAAAAGAAUCAACUUCACGAGCUCCGUCACCAUCAAACGUUCAGGUACUGUUCAAGACGGAAUCUGCCUUCGGGGGAUGUAUUAAAUUAUUACGGGGCUGUCUGAAGAGAGAGCGACAAGAAAAAACUCCUCUGAUUACCAACACUGUGACUGGAUAUAAAAAACUGCGUUGGGCUAGUUUCUACGUUCUUAACAUCGUUUCUGUAGCACUGGUAGUGGCUGCUAUUGUGCUGAUUGCUCUAACAAAACUUACCACAUAAAACUUUUUUUUAUGGUGUCUGGAGAUAACAAUUGAACUGAGUAAUUGAAUUGAGUUGGAUUUUUUCUUGUAUCAGUAGCGCUUAGAUAUCAAAUUCAUUUUUAUAAUUAUAAUUGUUCUACGCAUAAAGUACAAAAAGGACGAAGACCGAAUACAUUUUCCCCAACAAGGCUAUACUCGUAUUGUUGGUUUGACAAAA
Halichondria panicea is the source of this 2183-nucleotide RNA transcript. It is a transcript of the gene named putative ferric-chelate reductase 1, with no coding region annotated. The record is from RefSeq and is a predicted model, not a curated record. The transcript has 12 exons. NCBI's taxonomy places the organism in Eukaryota, Metazoa, Porifera, Demospongiae, Suberitida, Halichondriidae.